AUUGAACGCUGGCGUAAUGCUUUACACAUGCAAGUCGAACGGCAGCACGGACUUCGGUCUGGUGGCGAGUGGCGAACGGGUGAGUAACAUAUCGGAACGUAUCCAAUAAUGGGGGAUAACUAAUCGAAAGGUUGGCUAAUACCGCAUACGCCCUACGGGGGAAAGCAGGGGAUCUUCGGACCUUGCGUUAAUGGAGCGGCUGAUAGCUGAUUAGCUAGUUGGUGAGGUAAAGGCUCACCAAGGCGACGAGCAGUAGCUGGUCUGAGAGGACGACCAGCCACACUGGAACUGAGACACUGUUGAGACUCCUACGGGAGGCAGCGGUGGGGAAUUUUGGACAAUGGGCGCAAGCCUGAUCCAGCCAUUCCGCGUGAGUGAAGAAGGCCUUCGGGUUGUAAAGCUCUUUCGCAAGGGAAGAAAACUUACUUUCUAAUAAAGAGUGAGGUUGACGGUACCUUGAUAAGAAGCACCGGCUAACUACGUGCCAGCAGCCGCAGUAA
Molecule: ribosomal RNA, 500 nt
Filed under: uncultured bacterium
Lineage: Bacteria
Description: partial 16S ribosomal RNA
Rfam family: Bacterial small subunit ribosomal RNA
Source: RNAcentral